AUUGAACGCUGGCGGCAGGCCUAACACAUGCAAGUCGAACGGUAGCACAGAGAGCUUGCUCUCGGGUGACGAGUGGCGGACGGGUGAGUAACGUCUGGGAAACUGCCCGAUGGAGGGGGAUAACUACUGGAAACGGUAGCUAAUACCGCAUAACGUCGCAAGACCAAAGUGGGGGACCUUCGGGCCUCACACCAUCGGAUGUGCCCAGAUGGGAUUAGCUAGUAGGUGGGGUAAUGGCUCACCUAGGCGACGAUCUCUAGCUGGUCUGAGAGGAUGACCAGCCACACUGGAACUGGGACACGGUCCAGACUCCUACGGGAGGCAGCAGUGGGGAAUAUUGCACAAUGGGCGCAAGCCUGAUGCAGCCAUGCCGCGUGUAUGAAGAAGGCCUUCGGGUUGUAAAGUACUUUCAGCGGGGAGGAAGGCGGUGAAGUUAAUAGCUUCACCGAUUGACGUUACCCGCAGAAGAAGCACCGGCUAACUCCGUGCCAGCCGCCGCCGUAA
This 504-nucleotide ribosomal RNA is filed under the name uncultured bacterium. RNAcentral describes it as "partial 16S ribosomal RNA". It matches the Rfam family "Bacterial small subunit ribosomal RNA", at positions 30 to 523 of the family's 1533-position model. The record is from RNAcentral.